RNAcentral lists this ribosomal RNA (254 nucleotides) under uncultured bacterium. Its description in RNAcentral is "partial 16S ribosomal RNA". It matches the Rfam family "Bacterial small subunit ribosomal RNA", at positions 524 to 777 of the family's 1533-position model. The record is from RNAcentral.
UACAGAGGGUGCAAGCGUUGUUCGGAAUUAUUGGGCGUAAAGCGCGUGUAGGCGGCCGUGCAAGUCGGGUGUGAAAGCCCUCGGCUCAACCGAGGAAGUGCGCCCGAAACUGCAUGGCUUGAGUACCGGAGAGGAUGGCGGAAUUCCCCAAGUAGAGGUGAAAUUCGUAGAUAUCGGGAGGAACACCAGUGGCGAAGGCGGUUGCCUGGAGCUUUGCUGACGCUGAGGCGCGAAAGCGUGGGGAGCGAGUCCGG